This 465-nucleotide ribosomal RNA is filed under the name uncultured bacterium. RNAcentral describes it as "partial 16S ribosomal RNA". It matches the Rfam family "Bacterial small subunit ribosomal RNA", at positions 28 to 507 of the family's 1533-position model. The record is from RNAcentral.
GACGAACGCUGGCGGCGUGCUUAACACAUGCAAGUCGAACGGAAAGGCCCUGCUUGCAGGGUACUCGAGUGGCGAACGGGUGAGUAACACGUGGGUGCUCUGCCCUGCACUUCGGGAUAAGCCUGGGAAACUGGGUCUAAUACCGGAUAGGAGCCAUUUUUAGUGUGAUGGUUGGAAAGUUUUUUCGGUGUAGGAUGAGCUCGCGGCCUAUCAGCUUGUUGGUGGGGUAAUGGCCUACCAAGGCGGCGACGGGUAGCCGGCCUGAGAGGGUGGAAGGCCACAUUGGGACUGAGGGAAGGCCCAGACGCCGACGGGAGGCAGCAGUGGGGAAGAUUGAACAAGGGGCGCAGGCCGGAUGCAGCGGCGCCGCGUGGGGGAUGACGGCCUUCGGGUUGUAAAAUCCUUUCGCUAGGGACGAAGCUUUUUGUGACGGUACCUAGAUAAGAAGCACCGGCUAACUACGUG